RNAcentral lists this ribosomal RNA (418 nucleotides) under uncultured Prevotella sp. Its description in RNAcentral is "bacterial SSU rRNA". It matches the Rfam family "Bacterial small subunit ribosomal RNA", at positions 358 to 774 of the family's 1533-position model. Lineage: Bacteria; Pseudomonadati; Bacteroidota; Bacteroidia; Bacteroidales; Prevotellaceae. The record is from RNAcentral.
GGAAUAUUGGUCAAUGGACGAGAGUCUGAACCAGCCAAGUAGCGUGCAGGAUGACGGCCCUAUGGGUUGUAAACUGCUUUUAUACGGGGAUAAAGUGACCCACGUGUGGGUUUUUGUAGGUAACGUAUGAAUAAGGACCGGCUAAUUCCGUGCCAGCAGCCGCGGUAAUACGGAAGGUCCGGGCGUUAUCCGGAUUUAUUGGGUUUAAAGGGAGCGCAGGCCGAUGGUAAGCGUGACGUGAAAUGCCGCGGCUCAACCGUGGAAGUGCGUCGCGAACUGCCGUGCUUGAGUAUGUUCGACGUAGGCGGAAUUUGUGGUGUAGCGGUGAAAUGCUUAGAUAUCACGAAGAACCCCGAUUGCGAAGGCAGCCUACGAGGCCAUCACUGACGCUAAAGCUCGAAGGUGCGGGUAUCGAACA